Molecule: small nucleolar RNA, 104 nt
Organism: Lemur catta (Ring-tailed lemur)
Lineage: Eukaryota; Metazoa; Chordata; Mammalia; Primates; Lemuridae
Product: small nucleolar RNA U13
Exons: 1
Source: RefSeq, a predicted model, not a curated record
AUCUUUUUAUAGUUCAUAAGAGUGAGGAUUGGGUUUUCAGGUGCAUGCGUGAGAUGUGCCGCCCUAAAACCUUGUUACGGCAUCUGUAUGUUACCCAUCUGACA